RNAcentral lists this ribosomal RNA (465 nucleotides) under uncultured Actinomycetes bacterium. Its description in RNAcentral is "bacterial SSU rRNA". It matches the Rfam family "Bacterial small subunit ribosomal RNA", at positions 30 to 514 of the family's 1533-position model. Lineage: Bacteria; Bacillati; Actinomycetota; Actinomycetes. The record is from RNAcentral.
CGAACGCUGGCGGCGUGCUUAACACAUGCAAGUCGAGCGAUGAAGUUUCUUCGGAAAUGGAUUAGCGGCGAACGGGUGAGGAACACGUGAAGAAUCUGCCCUCCACUUUGGGAUAACACCGGGAAACCGGUGCUAAUACUGAAUAUUGAAACAUAAGUGGCAUCACUGAGUUUUGAAAGAAUUUCGGUGGAGGAUGACUUCGCGGCCUAUCAGCUAGUUGGUGAGGUAAUGGCUCACCAAGGCAACGACGGGUAGCCGGCCUGAGAGGGCGACCGGCCACACUGGGACUGAGACACGGCCCAGACUCCUACGGGAGGCAGCAGUGGGGAAUAUUGGACAAUGGGGGCAACCCUGAUCCAGCCAUGCCGCGUGAGUGAUGAAGGUCUUCGGAUUGUAAAGCUCUUUUGGCGGGGACGAUAAUGACGGUACCCGCAGAAUAAGCCCCGGCUAACUUCGUGCCAGCAA